GGUCCAUCCAUGCUGUCCCAAAGGGAAUUUUAUAGUUACAUGCCUUAUAUAUAAGUCUUUUAUCCACAUUGAAUUUAUCCUUGUGUAUGGUGGAAGUUGUUGGUCUACUUUCAUCUUUUUGCAUGGUCUGUACAGUUUUGCCAAAA
Myotis brandtii (Brandt's bat) is the source of this 146-nucleotide long non-coding RNA. RefSeq lists it as uncharacterized. NCBI's taxonomy places the organism in Eukaryota, Metazoa, Chordata, Mammalia, Chiroptera, Vespertilionidae. The record is from RefSeq and is a predicted model, not a curated record. The transcript has 3 exons.